AACGAACGCUGGCGGCAUGCCUAACACAUGCCAGUCGAACGAGACCUUCGGGUUUAGUGGCGCACGGGUGCGUAACGCGUGGGAACCUGCCCUUAGGUUCGGAAUCACUCCCCGAAAGGGGUGCUAAUACCGGAUAAUGUCUUCGGACCAAAGAUUUAUCGCCUUUGGAUGGGCCCGGGUUGGAUUAGCUAGUUGGUAGGGUAAAAGCCUACCAAGGCGACGAUGCAUAGCUGGUCUGAGAGGAUGAUCAGCCACGCUGGGACUGCGACACGGCCCAGACUCCUACGGGAGGCAGCAGUGUGGAAUAUUGGACAAUGGGCGAAAGCCUGAUCCAGCAAUGCCGCGUGAGUGAUGAAGGCCUUAGGGUUGUAAAGCUCUUUUACCCGGGAUGAUAAUGACAGUACCGGGAGAAUAAGCUCCGGCUAACUCCGUG
This 433-nucleotide ribosomal RNA is filed under the name uncultured bacterium. RNAcentral describes it as "partial 16S ribosomal RNA". It matches the Rfam family "Bacterial small subunit ribosomal RNA", at positions 29 to 507 of the family's 1533-position model. The record is from RNAcentral.